AUGGAUGUCUCUAUCAGAUUCAUGUGGAGCUACUUGGAGUCGUUGUUGGCCAUCAAAAAUGAUAAUGGUGCUGAUCCGGUGAAAGGCAUAUCGUAUAUGACCAUAGAUAUGUGGGGAAAGCCGACAGUACAAGUGCCCAAGUCGCCUAGAUGGGCUAAAUCGAGCCAGGGAUGGACUAAACUGAAUACGGAUGGCGCUUUUGUUUCGAGUGAUGAAGCUGGUGCGGGGAUGAUAUUGAGAGACUCUUCGGGGAAGAUCAUCUUCUCAGCGUGCAGAGCCUUAUAUUCUUGCAGGGAUGCGUUGAAGGCAGAGCUUUGUGCCUGUAUGGAGGGGUUGUCCUCGUCGAUUCAAUGA
RNAcentral lists this ribosomal RNA (354 nucleotides) under Triticum aestivum (bread wheat). RNAcentral describes it as "partial small subunit ribosomal RNA". Lineage: Eukaryota; Viridiplantae; Streptophyta; Magnoliopsida; Poales; Poaceae. The record is from RNAcentral.